UUUCCUCUAAGCCUUACUCAGGGUGCUGUUAGGUUAAGAGUGCUAAAAUACUUGUAAGUUUUUUAUUGGUGUCCAAUCACAAUGGUGUGUCAUGGCUGUUUGACAUAGAUGUGAUGGGGCAUUUGCCCCAAACUGACCCGUAAGGGUUAACAGAGCCUUAGGGAGGCUGCCUGAAAAGCAGCCAAUAGGAGGGGCGGGGGCCUGUCAGAUCCAUAUAAGAAGAGCUGCAGGACAGAGCAGGGUCAGUAGCUACCUGGUGCUCAAGGAGGGAAAAUCAGGCUUCUAGUAAGAAGGAAGGUGCAGCAACACCUUGGACAGGGCAGUGCUACUAGCAGGGACUGGGGACGUUAAAGAGAGCUCCUGGCUGGCUGCUAAGACUGGCAUUCUGAGGCCCUGAGGUAAGGGGGAAGUAGGUGCUAUGGCUUAGGGAAAUGUACUGAGAUGUUGGAGGGGAUGUAGCACAUAGCUGCCAUCUACAGAGUCCCUGGGAUGGGAUCUGGGUGUCAUUCCCCCGCCCUUUGCCACUGAGAAAGUGGCUGGCCUGUUGGACUGCAGUACUGGCCUCUGGAAGAGGGGCAAGCAGGCUGUGGCACAGCUGGAGGGCUGUGUCAUGAAGAGGAUGCCAUAGUCCUUGGAGUGAUGUGGGUCCAGGAGCAGAAGUGACAGUGGGUGAGACACUGCUGGCCUGUGAAGUUGAUCCCCAAGAUGACCAGCAGGAGGCACUAGCAUGCAUGUCAGCAGUGAAUGACACCAUUGCCAGAUGAACUAGUGUCCUGUGUGAAAUGAGGAGGGGAUGCUCCAAGGUAUCGCCAUUAUAAAAACCACCCCCAUCAUCACCUUCCACUACACCUCUACCAUGAUCUGAAGAGACUGCUUUUGUGAGGAGUGGCCUGGAACAAGAGUUCAGUCUUCAUGCUGUCUAUCAGAGAGGUCUAUCUACUUUACAUAUCUAGGUACUUGUAAUAUACAUAUUAUCUGAGGCCAUGGAAUCAAUAGGAAUGGAGAGUCUGUUCUGGUGUCCUUUCUUCUCUAGAAAUGGUCUCUCCAGAUCAUGGCUGCAGCACACCGAGGACAUGGAUAUGUAGAACUCUUAAGCCUUCUUCUCUAACCAGCUCUCUGCCAUAUUAAUUCUGUGCCAUCUUCAGGUUUCACUGGCUAGGCACAACUACAAAACUCUAUUUGGCAUUGCCAAAUGUUCAGUGUGAGGUUACAGGCUGCCCGGGUACCUUGCCUUUCAAACUAGUGCUGUGUUUUUUUUGCUUCACUUCUAUUGAAAGUUUUAAAAAUGU
Long non-coding RNA from Mauremys reevesii (Reeves's turtle), 1289 nucleotides. RefSeq lists it as uncharacterized. The transcript is spliced from 2 exons. Lineage: Eukaryota; Metazoa; Chordata; Testudines; Geoemydidae. The record is from RefSeq and is a predicted model, not a curated record.